Molecule: long non-coding RNA, 1570 nt
Filed under: Canis lupus familiaris (dog)
Lineage: Eukaryota; Metazoa; Chordata; Mammalia; Carnivora; Canidae
Description: lncRNA (ENSCAFG00845027589.1)
Source: RNAcentral
CAUCUACAAUCAGGACAGCUAUAGAAACAAGUCUGGCACAGCUGACAAAUUCUUUCUCCAUUGAUCUUUAUAAAGCAUAAGUCAUGUUAAUUAAAUAACCUAUAAUUAGUAUCAGUGUACAAAAUCUUUGCCAUAUCAUGUUGAUAUGUUACAGAAAAUGUUAGCAUUUUCUGCACAAUGGUUUCUAAAGAUGGAAGCAUCAUAUGGAGAAUAUAGCUAGAGCAACUGCUAUAAUUUGAAUAAUGUGAAAUAUAUAUAAAGAAAAUGGAGGAAAAAAAAUCCCAAAUGUUACUUUUGGUUCCAAAUGGUAACAUGACUUCUUUUAUCUCCUUUCUUUACCCAAAUCUUGUUAAAAUGAGAAUAAGAUAAUAAAAAUGGCCAGAAGAACAAGAGAGAGACAAAGCAGAGGAAUGAGCAGUAGCUACCCUAACAGGACAGUGGAAAUUACAUCUAAGUGUGUGCUGGAAGAUCCCAGUGAUAAGGGAGUGGAUUUUCCUAGCAAUGCCCCCAAAGAGACAGGCCACUGGAGCAGGAUGGGAGCCUGGGCUGGGGGUGGUGGUGGUGGGCAGGGCUAGAAACCAAGAUGAAAAUAUAGAGCCUGUGAAACUCCAAACACAGUACUGCUGGGCCCCUGAGACCCUCACCCUGAUAGGGCAUGGAGGCCCCCACCCCCACCCUACUUCUGCCAGCACCCACAGGACUCCAGGUGGACAGCAUGGGCCAAAAGCAAGACUGACUGGUGCCAAGUGUUGGGGUCUUUGUCUUUUACUCCCUCUGCCUAGCUGUCAAUGCCAGCAGCCAGACACAGAAUGCUUUCUGGGAAGGACUUUUUUCCUUUGGCAGAAACUCAUCAGCCCAGGUAGGGGUGCAUCCAUGCACAUGCAUGCACAUAUGCACUGGAGCAGAGGGAAAGGGGGCACCUCCUGGAACUUUAGGGGGUUCCAAUUUGGAGAAAGCUAGCUCAGCAUAGGAUUCAUAUACAGAACAUUCCACCAUCCACAGGUCCCACCUUCUCAUACUGAGAUCUUGAUCAGAUUUCUCAGUAACUCCCUUUUAAAUGGUAAUAGGCAGACAAGCAUCUAACUUGAAAGCCAGAGACCCAAAAAAUCAAACAGAAAAAAGGAACCUGGAGGAAAACAAGAUAUCCAAAGGACAUUUUUCUUCAAAAACUUCAAAAGGCCUAGGAAAUUGUCUAGCGAAGUAAGUAAAGCUAUUGUAGCCCUAAAAUAAAAACCAAAUGCUCCUUAAAAAAAAAAGGCAAAAUAAGAGUUGAAAAUUAAAUAUUUAAUCGAAACAAAGAUUCCAUAGGAGGAUUUGAAGGAAAAUCAAGGAACUCUCGAAGAAGGUAGAGCAAAAAUCAAACAACAGAAUUAGGAAAUAAUUAUGAAAAAAGUGAUAAAAAGGAGGUUCCAUCCAGAAGGUCCAAUGUUCAAGUAAUAAACAUUCUAGGCAAAGAGAACAGAGGUUAAAGCAGGGAAGAAAUUAUUUAAGAAAGAAUACUAAAAAGUCACGGGUAUCCAGAGCUGGGAAGAGCAGUCUAAAAAAAAAAAAAAAAAAAACAAAAACAAAA